Long non-coding RNA from Passer domesticus (house sparrow), 322 nucleotides. RefSeq lists it as uncharacterized. Lineage: Eukaryota; Metazoa; Chordata; Aves; Passeriformes; Passeridae. The transcript has 3 exons. The record is from RefSeq and is a predicted model, not a curated record.
UUGGAGGCGACACUUGGCCACCUGACAAGUGUAAUGAGAUCUUUCCAUCCUUGCAGCCUUUUUCCAGGAACCUUGAAACACAGAAUGGAUGUAGUGACUGGAUACAGAGAAAUGUAGUGACUAGGGAGAACCAUCUAGCCUUUUAAUGAAAAUUUCAAGCAAGCUUACAAAGAAAUUGAGACUUCUCUUACAAUGACAAAACUUCAUCAUAAAGAACCCACAUGUGAUCUGGAACAGGCCUGAUGUGUGUUAUAUCAUGGGAGUUUGUAAAAACUACAUCUACUCAAAGAAAAUCCAGUCAGUGUGUUUGAGGAGCUGUCAC